GUAUCUGUAUUUCUGAUAAUGAUAGUCAUAGAUCUAACACUCAGCUCUAUCUAUUAAUGUAUGCUUCCAGAAGAGCACCCUCAGCACAGUCUUUGACCCUAAUUUAAAGCAUGGCUGCUAUUUUUAGAUCCUAGGUACUUCACAUUUUGUCCCCUAGUCACUCAGAAUAUGACUCAGAUAUUCACAAACAUGACUGAAAGGAGCAGCACUACUUUCUUACAAUUAAAAUUGUUCUGCAAUUAAAGGAAAGAAAUAAAAUACUAUCAUCUAUGUAAAUAAUAUCUAUCUUUCUCAUGCAACUAUGAAAUGAAAGAGAUUUUUUUUUCAGUCCUACGUUUCAUCUCUUUUCAUACUAUUAACCACUGUUUUCCCCAAGGUAGAGAGGACCUGACACUACGUGAUUAUUGGUCCUGAAUCUAAAACUCCACCUUUGAUUAUGAGAUCAGAAAGAGAGAACAGCAUCUUUAUUUCAACCAUCAUUAGUGUUUCAACAAAAGGGUUUCCUUGGUCAUCUUUUAUAUCUCUCCAGACCACAGGAAAUCACUGCAGUUAAUAGAGUUAAACAAAAGUGAAAGGAAAAAUGGACUCAUCAGGCAAAGAUGGAGCCUACUAAUGAGGUACUUCCUUCUGAAAACAUUCAGGCUUUGUCACAAUUUGUCUGUCCACAUUCAAAUGGAAAGUACAAUUAGCAAAUAACAAGUACAGAAAACAGGUGGGGCAGGAUUGUGAGAAGUUGCUAUGUCUGUCCUGAUCCAAUGUGAUCAUCUUCUCUUAAACCAUUCCUAAAAAUUGUUUAAUUUAUUCUUUAGAACUAUCUAUUCCACAGUCCAUCUAUUCCAAUAAUUAACUAUCCCUAUAGUUUGAAAAUUCUAGUUAUAUAAUCUGAAAUUUCCCUUUUCUAUUUGGUUCCAAUGACCCAUUUAGAGUCUAAUAUUAUCCCUACCAGAAUCUGUUUUGCACAACUGAUGAAGAAGCCUAAAGGUAAGUAGUACCAUAACUAGGAUCCUUAUUCAAGUACCUAAAGUCAGGAAUAAUUAAUGCAGGUGACGCUGCUUACAGUGUUGUGCUGAUAUAUGAGAGGAAGAAUAUCUGUAAUGCACAAAUUCAGCAAGCAAGUUUAAAAUGUCAGUCACCUUAGACUGCAUCAAAGGAAAGAAUAUUUUUUUCAGAGUGAUUCAGAGAAGUACUAGCUUUGCUGCUCCAAAUUAGUCUCUGGAAAAACCCUGUUGACUAUACAGAAUUACAUCAGGUAGUAUUCCUGGUUUUUUGUUUGUUUGUUUGUUUGUUUGUUUGUUGUUUUUUUCUUCCCCCCCUUGGAAUUGAAGUU
This 1327-nucleotide long non-coding RNA is filed under the name Anas platyrhynchos platyrhynchos (common mallard). RNAcentral describes it as "lncRNA (ENSAPLG00000029100.1)". Lineage: Eukaryota; Metazoa; Chordata; Aves; Anseriformes; Anatidae. The record is from RNAcentral.